Molecule: ribosomal RNA, 261 nt
Filed under: uncultured Eubacteriales bacterium
Lineage: Bacteria; Bacillati; Bacillota; Clostridia; Eubacteriales
Description: uncultured Clostridiales bacterium partial 16S ribosomal RNA
Rfam family: Bacterial small subunit ribosomal RNA
Source: RNAcentral
CUUGCUUUCUCGAGCGAGUGGCGAACGGGUGAGUAACGCGUGAGGAACCUGCCUUGUACAGGGGGAUAACAGUUGGAAACGGCUGCUAAUACCGCAUAAGCGCACGGCAUCGCAUGAUGCAGUGUGAAAAACUCCGGUGGUGUGAGAUGGACCCGCGUCUGAUUAGCUAGUUGGCAGGGCAACGGCCCACCAAGGCGACGAUCAGUAGCCGGCCUGAGAGGGUGAACGGCCACAUUGGGACUGAGACACGGCCCAAACUCC